AACGAACGCUGGCGGCAGGCUUAACACAUGCAAGUCGAACGGAUCCUUCGGGAUUAGUGGCGCACGGGUGAGUAACACGUGGUAACGUACCCCUUGGUAAGGAAUAAUAUUUGGAAACGAAUCCUAAUACCUUAUAAUAUCUUCGGAUCAAAGAUUUAUCGCCAAGGGAUCGGCCCGCGUCUGAGUAGGUAGUUGGUGGGGUAAUGGCCUACCAAGCCGACGAUCAGUAGCUGGUCUGAGAGGAUGAUCAGCCACACUGGGACUGAGACACGGGCCAGACUCCUACGGGAGGCAGCAGUGAGGAAUAUAGGACAAUGGGGGAAACCCUGAUCCAGCCAUGCCGCGUGAGUGAAGAAGGCCUUAGGGUUGUAAAGCUCUUUCAAUAGUGAAGAUAAUGACGGUAGCUAUAGAAGAAGCCCCGGCUAAAUUCGUGCCAGCCGCCGCUGUAA
RNAcentral lists this ribosomal RNA (449 nucleotides) under uncultured bacterium. Its description in RNAcentral is "partial 16S ribosomal RNA". It matches the Rfam family "Bacterial small subunit ribosomal RNA", at positions 29 to 523 of the family's 1533-position model. The record is from RNAcentral.